This is a long non-coding RNA of Bombus impatiens (common eastern bumble bee), 259 nucleotides long. RefSeq lists it as uncharacterized. Lineage: Eukaryota; Metazoa; Arthropoda; Insecta; Hymenoptera; Apidae. The transcript is spliced from 2 exons. The record is from RefSeq and is a predicted model, not a curated record.
AGUAGUGUUGAAGUGGUCACCACUUCUAAGAAAACUCUACAUCUGGCUUUUUUAGUUUUCUCAAGCACUGAAACCACCGACAGCGUAUAAACAAAAGACUGGGACGAAGGCAGACCAUAAACAGUGGACAGACGACGUUGGCUUCAGGGUUUUUUAGUUAUGGGUAACACUGCUAGCGUGCGAAUCUGGACCAGCUCAAAUUGUAUUGCUACUUGUAAUUACACUUCUGUAUUAAAAUAUAUUUUCUACCUUACAAUUU